GACGAACGCUGGCGGCGUGCUUAACACAUGCAAGUCGAACGGAAAGGCCCUGCUUUUGUGGGGUGCUCGAGUGGCGAACGGGUGAGUAACACGUGAGUAACCUGCCCUUGACUUUGGGAUAACUUCAGGAAACUGGGGCUAAUACCGGAUAGGAGCUCCUGCUGCAUGGUGGGGGUUGGAAAGUUUCGGCGGUUGGGGAUGGACUCGCGGCUUAUCAGCUUGUUGGUGGGGUAGUGGCUUACCAAGGCUUUGACGGGUAGCCGGCCUGAGAGGGUGACCGGCCACAUUGGGACUGAGAUACGGCCCAGACUCCUACGGGAGGCAGCAGUGGGGAAUAUUGCACAAUGGGCGGAAGCCUGAUGCAGCAACGCCGCGUGCGGGAUGACGGCCUUCGGGUUGUAAACCGCUUUCGCCUGUGACGAGGCGUGAGUGACGGUAAUGGGUAAAGAAGCACCGGCUAACUACGUGCCAGCAGCCGCGGUGAUACGUAGGGUGCGAGCGUUGUCCGGAUUUAUUGGGCGUAAAGGGCUCGUAGGUGGUUGAUCGCGUCGGAAGUGUAAUCUUGGGGCUUAACCCUGAGCGUGCUUUCGAUACGGGUUGACUUGAGGAAGGUAGGGGAGAAUGGAAUUUCUGGUGGAGCGGUGGAAUGCGCAGAUAUCAGGAGGAACACCAGUGGCGAAGGCGGUUCUCUGGGCCUUUCCUGACGCUGAGGAGCGAAAGCGUGGGGAGCGAACAGGCUUAGAUACCCUGGUAGUCCACGCUGUAAACGGUGGGUACUAGGUGUGGGGUCCAUUCCACGGGUUCCGUGCCGUAGCUAACGCUUUAAGUACCCCGCCUGGGGAGUACGGCCGCAAGGCUAAAACUCAAAGGAAUUGACGGGGCCCCGCACAAGCGGCGGAGCAUGCGGAUUAAUUCGAUGCAACGCGUAGAACCUUACCUGGGUUUGACAUGGAUCGGGAGCGCUCAGAGAUGGGUGUGCCUCUUUUGGGGUCGGUUCACAGGUGGUGCAUGGCUGUCGUCAGCUCGUGUCGUGAGAUGUUGGGUUAAGUCCCGCAACGAGCGCAACCCUUGUUCACUGUUGCCAGCACGUUAUGGUGGGGACUCAGUGGAGACCGCCGGGGUCAACUCGGGGGAAGGUGGGGAUGACGUCAAGUCAUCAUGCCCCUUAUGUCCAGGGCUUCACGCAUGCUACAAUGGCUGGUACAGAGAGUGGCGAGCCUGUGAGGGUGAGCGAAUCUCGGAAAGCCGGUCUCAAUUCGGAUUGGGGUCUGCAACUCGACCUCAUGAAGUCGGAGUCGCUAGUAAUCGCAGAUCAGCAACGCUGCGGUGAAUACGUUCCCGGG
RNAcentral lists this ribosomal RNA (1343 nucleotides) under uncultured bacterium. RNAcentral's name for it is "16S ribosomal RNA". It matches the Rfam family "Bacterial small subunit ribosomal RNA", at positions 28 to 1378 of the family's 1533-position model. The record is from RNAcentral.